Molecule: ribosomal RNA, 647 nt
Filed under: uncultured Verrucomicrobiales bacterium
Lineage: Bacteria; Pseudomonadati; Verrucomicrobiota; Verrucomicrobiia; Verrucomicrobiales
Description: bacterial SSU rRNA
Rfam family: Bacterial small subunit ribosomal RNA
Source: RNAcentral
UCCCACAACUCAAUUGUGGAAAUGCAUUCAAAACUACCAGACUAGAGUACUGGAGAGGAGAGCGGAAUUCUUGGUGUAGCGGUGAAAUGCGUAGAUAUCAAGAGGAACACCGGUGGCGAAGGCGGCUCUCUGGACAGAUACUGACGCUGAGGCUCUAAAGUUAGGGGAGCAAACAGGAUUAGAUACCCUGGUAGUCCUAACUGUAAACGGUGUACACUUGGUGUGCGAGGAAUUGUCCCUUUGCGCGCCGUAGCUAACGCGUUAAGUGUACCGCCUGGGGAGUACGGUCGCAAGAUUAAAACUCAAAGGAAUUGACGGGGGCCCGCACAAGCAGUGGAGCAUGUGGUUUAAUUCGAGGCUACGCGAAGAACCUUACCUGGGUUUGACAUCCCCUGAAAUAUCGGUGAAAGCCGAUUUCCCUUUUGGGCAGGGAGACAGGUGCUGCAUGGUUGUCGUCAGCUCGUGUCGUGAGAUGUUGGGUUAAGUCCCGCAACGAGCGCAACCCUUGUCCUGUGUUACCAUCAUUAAGUUGGGGACUCACAGGAGACUGCCGGAGAUAAUCCGGAGGAAGGCGGGGAUGACGUCUAAUCAUCAUGGCCUUUAUACCCAGGGCUACACACGUGCUACAAUGGCCAACACAAUGGGNU